GACGAACGCUGGCGGCGUGCUUAACACAUGCAAGUCGAACGGUGAAGGGAUCAGCUUGCUGGUCCUGGGUGAGUGGCGAACGGGUGAGUAACACGUGAGUAACCUGCCCCCUUCUUCUGGACAACCGCAUGAAGGUGUGGCUCAUACGGGAUAUUCUGCGCCUGCUGCAUGGUGGGAGUGGGAUAGAUUUUGUUACGGUGGGGGAUGGGCUCGCGGCCUAUCAGCUUGAUGGUGGGGUGAUGGCCUACCAAGGCGGUGACGGGUAGCCGGCCUGGGGGGGGCGGCGGUCGCGGUGGGACUGCGACACUGCGCAGACGCCUAGGGGAAGCAGCCGUGGGGAAGAUUGCGCGGUGAGCGUAAGCCUGAUGGAGCGACGCCGCGUGAGGGACGGAGGCCGUCGGGUUAUGAACCUCUGUCGCUAGUGAAGCAGGCCUGUCCCUUGUGCGUGGGUUGACGGUAGCUAGAUAAGAAGCGCCGGCUAACUACGUG
RNAcentral lists this ribosomal RNA (489 nucleotides) under uncultured bacterium. RNAcentral describes it as "partial 16S ribosomal RNA". It matches the Rfam family "Bacterial small subunit ribosomal RNA", at positions 28 to 507 of the family's 1533-position model. The record is from RNAcentral.